UUGUCGCCGUAGAUGAUCGUGAUUCCAUUCGGCUCGAAGCCGAGGGUCUGACCGGCGGCAAGGUUGUUCACGCCGGUCACGUCGGCGAUCGACAGA
RNAcentral lists this transfer RNA (96 nucleotides) under Xanthomonas boreopolis. RNAcentral describes it as "[Pseudomonas] boreopolis tRNA-Ser". Lineage: Bacteria; Pseudomonadati; Pseudomonadota; Gammaproteobacteria; Lysobacterales; Lysobacteraceae. The record is from RNAcentral.